This 254-nucleotide ribosomal RNA is filed under the name uncultured bacterium. RNAcentral's name for it is "partial 16S ribosomal RNA". It matches the Rfam family "Bacterial small subunit ribosomal RNA", at positions 524 to 776 of the family's 1533-position model. The record is from RNAcentral.
CACGUAGGGUGCGAGCGUCGUCCGGAAUUAUUGGGCGUAAAGAGCUCGUAGGCGGUGUGUCGCGUCGGCCGUGAAAACCUGCAGCUUAACUGUGGGCUUGCGGUCGAUACGGGCAUCACUGGAGUUCGGCAGGGGAGACUGGAAUUCCUGGUGUAGCGGUGAAAUGCGCAGAUAUCAGGAGGAACACCGGUGGCGAAGGCGGAUCUCUGGGCCAUUACUGACGCUGAGGAGCGAAAGCGUGGGGAGCAAACAGG